This is a long non-coding RNA of Herpailurus yagouaroundi (jaguarundi), 787 nucleotides long. RefSeq lists it as uncharacterized. The record is from RefSeq and is a predicted model, not a curated record. The transcript is spliced from 2 exons. Lineage: Eukaryota; Metazoa; Chordata; Mammalia; Carnivora; Felidae.
UGUCACCUUUUCAUCCUUCAGCUCUCAGCCAGGCAUCUUUUUCUCAAGGCUGGCUAUUGUGCUGCCCUGGGGCCAGCUCAGCGUCCUUUGUGAAUCACUAAUACAGCCCUGUCUUCCUUUCCUUUAGAGCACCUCACUCACUCUGCAGCUAUACAUUCUCUAAUGGAUUAACUUACUGAUAUUUGUCUUUCCUUCUAUCCUGCAAGCCCCAUAAGAGCAGGGGCAGUCUAACAUGGCUGGCGCAGACGUUUCUAAUCACGGACCACUACUGUAAAUAUUCUCUAGUCCCGGCCAGUCUCCGAUCUGUGAAGCUAGUGUAUGAGCCUCAUCUGCUUUCUGGAACCCUGGUCCUCCACUUGUGUUCUUGCCUCCUCACUUGGGAUGCCAGCGGUAACGGGACUGGCUCCCCGUUCUGAUUCUGAACAAGGUUAUAGGCUAGAAUGGACUUCUCUGCCCAGACUGGAAGUGAACGAGGAGCAAGGGACUGGGAAGAGCAUCUCCAAACACACCCAGAACUGCCGUUGGGUUAUACGUGGACUCUUGGAAGAGAACAGCUACAGAUACAGUUGUGCAUGUUGCUGGCUUGAGACGAGACCAGAGCAUCUUUCCCCCCACCCCCCAAGCCUGCAGGGACAGUUAUAUGGAGAAUUUAAAGAAAAAAACAUCAGAUGAAGACUUGUAGCCAUAUUGAAGAAAAGAUGUUCUUGUCUGUGGCUGUAGGUAUCGUGUUCUAAAUUGCAUCAUUUUGGUGUCUUGUAUAUAAUAUAUCCCCCUUUCUCUUCGAAAA